RNAcentral lists this ribosomal RNA (251 nucleotides) under uncultured bacterium. RNAcentral describes it as "partial 16S ribosomal RNA". It matches the Rfam family "Bacterial small subunit ribosomal RNA", at positions 525 to 775 of the family's 1533-position model. The record is from RNAcentral.
ACGGAGGAUCCGAGCGUUAUCCGGAUUUAUUGGGUUUAAAGGGAGCGUAGGCGGGUUGUUAAGUCAGUUGUGAAAGUUUGCGGCUCAACCGUAAAAUUGCAGUUGAUACUGGCGACCUUGAGUGCAACAGAGGUAGGCGGAAUUCGUGGUGUAGCGGUGAAAUGCUUAGAUAUCACGAAGAACUCCGAUUGCGAAGGCAGCUUACUGGAUUAUAACUGACGCUGAUGCUCGAAAGUGUGGGUAUCAAACAG